This 2253-nucleotide long non-coding RNA is filed under the name Olea europaea (common olive). RNAcentral describes it as "long non-coding RNA (OEUR_LNC006473)". The record is from RNAcentral. Lineage: Eukaryota; Viridiplantae; Streptophyta; Magnoliopsida; Lamiales; Oleaceae.
ACAAUCAACUACCCCACAAUCGACCUAAGCCUAUACUCCUCAAUCAUUCAAAUUUGAGAAAAUUACACCUAAACAUGUUUUUCAAUUUUCAAUUUCAAAAAUAAGAUUUAAAAUUUAUUUAUUCAAAAAUCAGGUAAUAAUUCCUCUUUUAGUAUUAAUGAUAAUAUUAUUAAAUUUCUCUCUUUACACACAACAGAUUAUUUUCUCUAUUUACUCUUUCAUCUCUCACUCUAUUCUAUUAUCACUCACACACACUCUCUACACAAAAUCUCUCUAAAAACACAUUGCCGCCCACCUUUAAGAUCUCCACUCCGUCUCUCCAUAGACAAUUGUCCGGUGACUGGGACGAUGAAGUAGGUGUGGAAUAGUAACAAGGAAGCCGGGAUUUUGACAUCGGACCCCAAUUCUUUCCUCUCCUCGUUCUACUUUUUGCUUACGUGUAAAUUGAAUUAUAGUUGAUAGAUUAUCGGUUUGAGAUCGUUUUCGAAAUUUUAGUCCUUCUUUCUAUUUCUAUUUCUAUUUUGUGAAUUUCUUUAGCUCCAAUGUGAUUAUAUCUAUGGGGAACGAAAUUAAAGGGCCCGAUGUGUGAUUUAAUGGCCAAGAUCACUAUUACGCCUCCCACUUUCAUCUAGACCUGAGAUAGAUCCACAGAUGUGUGCUUCUAUGCCUUUCUACUAAUUUCAUCUCCUAAUUUUUAUUGUUUUAAAACUUGAAUUUAAGCCCUCUUGACAUAUUUUUUUUGAGACCCCUUAUACGAACAUUAGAGUCAUGACUAAUUUUUUGUUAUUGAUUAUAUUUGUUUCUAUUUUUUAUUUUUUUUUGUCUGUCUUAUUGUUGAUAUCUUUCCUUUUCUCUUCUACAAACAUUAGAUUCUUAUGCCUUUUUUCAUUUUUCAUUCAUUUUUUGCAAAAAUAUCUAUUUUAGUUAAAUUAUAAAAAUUUAUAUUGGUUGAUUUAUAUUUAUUCUAUAAAGGUUUAUUAUAUUAAUAUUAUAUUUUAUUAAAUUAAAAUUUUAUUUUAUUAUUUAUUUAAUUAAGGACUUCAAUUUUUAUUUCUUUUUAAAAUAUUUUUUUACUAUAUGGGAAGGGAAUAGGGAAGGAAAAGGGGAAUUGUGAGGACCAACACCUAAUAUGUGAGAAUUUCAUGCUAUUAUAUUAGAUCGAUGUGAAUUCUAUUUCAAGUAUGUUAGGUUUCUAGUGUAUUGGCAAUUCUUUAGAUAAUUGGAUUAAUGUAAAAGAGUUGUAAAAGUCACAAAAUCUUUUGAAGUUGGUAGUAUGGUCUUUGAAGGAGUUCAAGAUGUCCAAAAAGAUCACAUAUGAUUAUUGGAAUGCAAUUAGAAGUUUAAAGGAUAUCAAAGAUCUGCAUAAGUUAUAUUCCAAAUUCUCAGUCCUAACUUGCAACACAUUUUUCUCAUAGAAAACAUUGGAAUUUGGACAAGGCUAUUUCUUAAAUAUUUGUAGCCCUCUGAGUGAGUUUUUCAACGCAUUUUGAAUCACCUAAAUCGAACAUUGGAGGAGAAGGUUAUGAUGCAAAUACUAACAAUUACUCAGCUAUCGCUAGUUAUUCACUCAAGCGACAUUUGUAUCCAGCCAAAAAGUAGGUUGCAAUUUGAUGAGUUUUAUACCGCCCAUGACACCUAUUUGCCCCCAUCUAUAAAUACUAUAGUCAUGGACGAAAAUUCUAGGGUUGCUCAUUGUGUUUUUACAUUUAUAACAUUUUCAUAUCGUUGUUCAAGAGAUCCAAGACGUAGUUCAUUAGUGAAUCCAUCAUAUUCAUUCUUGUGAUCCAACAACUAAGUUUUGGAAAAACAUCACAUUUUUGUAAUCUAAAACACCUGACUUCCUUAAUUUAUUGAGAAAUUGACUCUCUCAUUGGGAAAUUGAGAAAUGUGGAUUGAAGGUAGUUACAAGCACAAGAGCAGGCGAUUCUUGAUGUUUCACUUGGAGAGACAUUCUGUAUAAGACCAGAAGGCCGUAGGAGACAGCAGAUUGAGCUGAGGAGGUAGAUUAGGAAGUUUAGCAGGAAACUAGAUGCAUCUACGGCAUUAGAUCGCGAGACUGUUACAGCUGGUCUUAAUGGAUACAAGAGUUGGAAUUACUGUAUAUUCCCUGAACUAUUAAUAAUGGCGGUAACUGGUUUGGCCCUAGAGUUUUUCCCACAUUAGGUUUCUCUGUCAUCAAAUUUUGUGUUAUUUACUUUCCAACAAUUUAUUACAAACUUGGGUAUUUAAAUGUAGGGAUUAAUUGAAUUGUAU